UUAUUAUCGAGUUGAAUACCUGCAUCUGUGUGGGUAUUGUGAUUCUGACUCUGAAUAGGAAGAUCUGAUGCCUUUUUCUUUUCAGUUUUACAGGUUUUGUUUUAUUUCAGAUUUUCAUUGAUUUUUUUUAGGUUUCGUGAUUUAUUGGCCAGUGAUGACAGUUUAUAAAAUGGUUGACUGAAAAGCAAGUUUUUAAGCUUGCAAAGUUGCUGAAAAUCAUGAACUAGGACGGUCUGAGGCUAUUCUGAUUUUGGGUUUUUGCAAAGCUUGAAUCUUUUUAAUGUUUUUUUUGGUCAUGUGGGUUGUGUAUGAUGAUAUCAUAUGUUCAAUACAGUUAUCCCUGUCUGAUAAUUCUUGAUGUAUUACAUUUGAUCUGACUCAUACCCUUAUGAUAUUUUAUAUGUGCAGGAAUUGUGUCUGUGUGAGUUUUUUUUUACAGUUUUAAUCUUUUAUAAGUUUUAAUUAUUUCUGUUAUGUGGGUUGUGUAUGAUGAGAUCUUAUGUCUAAAACAGUUAUCCCUGUCUGAUAAAUCUUGAUGUUUGCAUUUGUUCUGACUCAGAC
Molecule: long non-coding RNA, 561 nt
Filed under: Helianthus annuus (common sunflower)
Lineage: Eukaryota; Viridiplantae; Streptophyta; Magnoliopsida; Asterales; Asteraceae
Rfam family: Small nucleolar RNA snoR20a (bases 148-240)
Source: RNAcentral